GAUGAACGCUGGCGGCGUGCCUAAUACAUGCAAGUCGAGCGAACGGACGAGAAGCUUGCUUCUCUGAUGUUAGCGGCGGACGGGUGAGUAACACGUGGAUAACCUACCUAUAAGACUGGGAUAACUUCGGGAAACCGGAGCUAAUACCGGAUAAUAUUUUGAACCGCAUGGUUCAAAAGUGAAAGACGGUCUUGCUGUCACUUAUCGAUGGAUCCGCGCUGCAUUAGCUAGUUGGUAAGGUAACGGCUUACCAAGGCAACGAUGCAUAGCCGACCUGAGAGGGUGAUCGGCCACACUGGAACUGAGACACGGUCCAGACUACUAAGGGAGGCAGCAGUAGGGAAUCUUACGCAAUGGGCGAAAGCCUGACGGAGCAACGCCGCGUGAGUGAUGAAGGUCUUCGGAUCGUAAAACUCUGUUAUUAGGGAAGAACAGAUGUGUAAGUAACUGUGCACAUCUUGACGGUACCUAAUCAGAAAGCCACGGCUAACUACGUG
RNAcentral lists this ribosomal RNA (497 nucleotides) under uncultured bacterium. RNAcentral's name for it is "partial 16S ribosomal RNA". It matches the Rfam family "Bacterial small subunit ribosomal RNA", at positions 28 to 507 of the family's 1533-position model. The record is from RNAcentral.